AUGAGAAAAGUUACUUCAACUGUUGUUUCUCCUUUUGGGACUUGAAUUUUGAAGCAUUAUAUAGAGAUUUGUGAUUACUUAAGAAAAUGAUUGGUCGUCAAUUUCGUCCGCAGCCCUGCAAAGGAAUACUUUUGUUUGGUCCUGCUAGAACUGGGAAAACCAUGCUUUCAAAAGCCGUUGCCACUGAAGCGGGAGCAAAUUUUAUUAAUAUUUCAAUGUCAACUAUCGGUUCAAAGUGGGGUCAGAGUGAGAAAUGCAUAAAAGCUGUCUUCUCACUGGCUAGUAAAAUUGCUCCCAGCGUUAUUUUUGUAGAUGAGGGUUGAUAGUAUGCUGGGACGAAGGGAAAAUCCAGAACAUGAGUCAAUGCGCAAAUUGAAAAAUGAAUUCAUGCUGCAUUGGGAUGGGUUGCACACAAAGGAUACAGAACGAGUUCUGGUACUUGCAGCAACAAACAGGCCAUUUGACCUUGAUGAGGCUGUUAUAAGGCGACUGCCACGCAGGUAAAAGAGGAAUGACUUGAGUUUAUGAAAAGAAAAGGCAGUCUAGUGCAUGAAGCAUCCACAUUCUCGCACGGUCCGGAGAAGGUCGCAUUCCAAUGGGGUGUGAUGUAGGAAGCCUACACUGGCGCAAGCGUCAGUGACUGAUUUUACAACUCGGGAGAAACAUAAGUUUGAGGGCCAGUUCAGAUGGAACAGACCGCACCUAGUGCUAAUGGUGGACCACCUCCAGCACUAAGCAGCAGUGCAGACUUACGGCCACUGAAUAUGGACGACUUCAGAUAUUCUCAUCAGCAGGUUUGCCCAAGGUAUUUCAUCUGAAUCCGCAAAUAUGACAGAGCUUCUUCAGUGGAAUGAUCUGUAUGGAGAAGGGGGUUCUAAAAAGAAACAGUCCUUCAGUUAUAUCAUGUAAAGGGGGCUUUUGGGUUCAUUUGUACAAUGAGUUUAUAGGUCUCUUAGACAAUGAGUUUUGACAUGUUACAAUGGUGGUGUAGGCUUUCACAUACAAUUAGUUUAUAUGCUUUGACCUUUUGCUGAGUAUUUGCAGAGCGUGUCGAGUCCUGUCAGAAAAUUGACAAAGCUUCUAUAAUUUCCCAAAAUAUUUUUUUAGCUUAGAUGUCUACCUUACCCAAAUAUUUUAACUAGAGUAGAUGUCUGGGUUUAUUAUUUGAUACCUUGUAAAUAAUAAGUAUGCUAACUAGGCGUACAUUGAUUUGAACCUGAAAAUUACAUUUUGUUGCACGCAGAGUAUUGCAUUUAAGGGUCGUUUGAACAGUUGGGAUAAGUAAUGUUGAGAUUAUUUUUUAACCAUCGUUGGUUCGGUUUGGUGUAUUAAGGAUAGUUCUAUAUUUGAGAAAUGGUUAUCCUCAUCAGUUAUAUGCCUUGUAUAUUAUCUGAUGACAAAUUUUGGUUGCUAGCACACUAGUGUGCCUGUCAACAACGAAGGGAACGUCAAGAGUAAAGCUCCAAGGAGAAAAAUGUAGGGAAAUUGCGGUUGUAAAUUGCUACAAAAGAGACUGUAGGGAAGAAAAAAGCUGAAACUUUCAAGUGAUUUCUAUUUUUCUGGAUGGCUACAAAUGCACAAUGUGCCUCCUAUUUAUACAAGUCCAUGGAUAAUUCUAGAUAUCCUACAAAAUGUACUGGUACGUAGAACCAUU
This is a long non-coding RNA of Capsicum annuum, 1654 nucleotides long. RefSeq lists it as uncharacterized. The transcript has 5 exons. Lineage: Eukaryota; Viridiplantae; Streptophyta; Magnoliopsida; Solanales; Solanaceae. The record is from RefSeq and is a predicted model, not a curated record.